AUACGUAGGGGGCGAGCGUUGUCCGGAAUGAUUGGGCGUAAAGGGCGCGUAGGCGGCUUUGCAAGUCAGUAGUGGAAGUCCAUUUUUCAAGGAUGGAAGUGCUACAGAAACUGCGGAGCUUGAGUGCAGGAGAGGUUAUCGGAAUUCCCGGUGUAGCGGUGAAAUGCGUAGAGAUCAGGAGGAACACCGGUGGCGAAGGCGGCUUGCUGGGCUUUUACUGACGCUGAGGCUCGAAAGCGUGGGUAGCAAACAGGAUUAGAUACCCUGGUAGUCCACGCUGUAAACGAUGAUUACUAGGUGUGGGGGGACUGACCCCUUCCGUGCCGCAGUUAACACAAUAAGUAAUCCACCUGGGGAGUACGGCCGCAAGGUUGAAACUCAAAGGAAUUGACGGGG
Molecule: ribosomal RNA, 396 nt
Filed under: uncultured bacterium
Lineage: Bacteria
Description: partial 16S ribosomal RNA
Rfam family: Bacterial small subunit ribosomal RNA
Source: RNAcentral